This 382-nucleotide ribosomal RNA is filed under the name uncultured bacterium. RNAcentral's name for it is "bacterial SSU rRNA". It matches the Rfam family "Bacterial small subunit ribosomal RNA", at positions 29 to 414 of the family's 1533-position model. The record is from RNAcentral.
AUUGAACGCUGGCGGAAUGCUUUACACAUGCAAGUCGAACGGCAGCACGGGGCAACCUGGUGGCGAGUGGCGAACGGGUGAGUAAUACAUCGGAACGUGCCCAAUCGUGGGGGAUAACGUAGCGAAAGUUACGCUAAUACCGCAUACGAUCUACGGAUGAAAGCGGGGGAUCGCAAGACCUCGCGCGAAUGGAGCGGCCGAUGUCAGAUUAGGUAGUUGGUGGGGUAAAGGCUCACCAAGCCAACGAUCUGUAGCGGGUCUGAGAGGAUGAUCCGCCACACUGGAACUGAGACACGGUCCAGACUCCUACGGGAGGCAGCAGUGGGGAAUUUUGGACAAUGGGCGCAAGCCUGAUCCAGCCAUGCCGCGUGCGGGAAGAAGG